This is a long non-coding RNA of Vollenhovia emeryi, 810 nucleotides long. RefSeq lists it as uncharacterized. NCBI's taxonomy places the organism in Eukaryota, Metazoa, Arthropoda, Insecta, Hymenoptera, Formicidae. The transcript is spliced from 3 exons. The record is from RefSeq and is a predicted model, not a curated record.
AGCCGUACUUAAGAUUGUCUUGGUCAAGAUCAUCUUAUUUGAUUCAGAUCAUCUCAAGAACAGUACAUUACAUAGUCACAAAAUAAGAUGGUCUUUGCGAAGACGUUUUCAUCGAAGUAGUUCUUAUUCGAAUUGAGAAAGUCUUCGCGAAGAUAUGCUUAAAAUCGUGCUUAUUUACGAAUCGGCUGUUUCCGUAAUAUUUCUCUUGUGUCCUCCAAUAGAAACGUUGAAUUGAAGAUACAGUUGUACUCUACCGUGUACUAUCUUGUGUAUGUUUAUGCACAUAGCAUAAUUCAUCGAAAAAUUUUGGCGUUAUAUUGUUCUUCAUCGAGAAUAAAUAUACCAGAAUGUCGUGCAAAGAGAAGCUUGUUUCAAGUAAAAACAAACAUUAUACAUUGAUAGAAAAGAAAGUAUUUUUACAAAUACUUGAAAAAUACAAAAAUAUAAUAGAACUAAAAAAAAGUGACGCUACAACUUUGAAAGACAAAGAUAUCGCAUGGAGUGAAAUAUGUCAAGAAUAUAAUCAAUCAACAUUGAUUUGUCAAGAGAGAACUGUACAACAGUAAAAAAAUUGUGGGCAAAUUUAAAGCAGUCCCAAAGAGAUGCCUUAACCAAAGAGAAACAAUCACGUUUAGCUACUGGUGGUGGACCACAGGAAGCUGAAGCAAGUGUUGAUCCUGAUAUCCUCAAUAUAGCACCACAUUUAAUGGAAAAUGCACCAGUGCUAUUUACAUCAAAUAUGACUGAAACAGAGAUUGAAGGUAUAUCUACAAUUAACUAUAUCACCUCUAAAUUUUUAACAAUAUACAU